GUAGCGAAAUUCCUUGUCGGGUAAGUUCCGACCUGCACGAAUGGCGUAACGACAGCGGCGCUGUCUCCACCCGAGACUCAGUGAAAUUGAAAUCGCUGUGAAGAUGCAGCGUUCCCGUGGCAAGACGGAAAGACCCCGUGAACCUUUACUAUAGCUUUACACUGAACGUUGAGUUCGUCUGUGUAGGAUAGGUGGGAGGCUUUGAAGUGUCGGCGCUAGCUGGCAUGGAGCCAUCCUUGAAAUACCACCCUGAUGUGCUUGACGUUCUAACCUAGGCCCGUAAUCCGGGUCGGGGACCGUGUAUGGUGGGUAGUUUGACUGGGGCGGUCUCCUCCUAAAGAGUAACGGAGGAGCUCGAAGGUACGCUCAGCGCGGUCGGACAUCGCGCACUGUGUGCAAAGGCAUAAGCGUGCUUGACUGCAAGAUCGACGGAUC
Molecule: ribosomal RNA, 435 nt
Filed under: uncultured eukaryote
Lineage: Eukaryota
Description: partial Bacterial large subunit ribosomal RNA
Rfam family: Bacterial large subunit ribosomal RNA
Source: RNAcentral